Molecule: ribosomal RNA, 506 nt
Filed under: uncultured bacterium
Lineage: Bacteria
Description: partial 16S ribosomal RNA
Rfam family: Bacterial small subunit ribosomal RNA
Source: RNAcentral
AUUGAACGCUGGCGGCAGGCCUAACACAUGCAAGUCGAACGGUAACAGGAAGCAGCUUGCUGCUUUGCUGACGAGUGGCGGACGGGUGAGUAAUGUCUGGGAAACUGCCUGAUGGAGGGGGAUAACUACUGGAAACGGUAGCUAAUACCGCAUAACGUCGCAAGACCAACGAGGGGGACCUUCGGGCCUCUUGCCAUCGGAUGUGCUCAGAUGGGAUUAGCUAGUAGGUGGGGUAACGGCUCACCUAGGCGACGAUCCCUAGCUGGUCUGAGAGGAUGACCAGCCACACUGGAACUGAGACACGGUCCAGACUCCUACGGGAGGCAGCAGUGGGGAAUAUUGCACAAUGGGCGCAAGCCUGAUGCAGCCAUGCCGCGUGUAUGAAGAAGGCCUUCGGGUUGUAAAGUACUUUCAGCGGGGAGGAAGGUGUUGAGGUUAAUAACCUCAGCAAUUGACGUUACCCGCAGAAGAAGCACCGGCUAACUCCGUGCCAGCCGCCGCGGUAA